This 1656-nucleotide ribosomal RNA is filed under the name Triticum aestivum (bread wheat). RNAcentral describes it as "partial small subunit ribosomal RNA". The record is from RNAcentral. Lineage: Eukaryota; Viridiplantae; Streptophyta; Magnoliopsida; Poales; Poaceae.
AUGGAGGCAAAGGCGCUCCCCCUCUCGCACUACCGCGCGCGGGCGGGCUCGCCGCUCCUCCUCUCCGCAGACGCCAGCUCCGCCGCGCGCAAGGGCUCCGGCGCGCCAGGCAGGAGCAGGGCCUCGAGGUAUGACGCGGGAGCGCCUCCGAGCAGGGCAGGGAUGAAUGGAGUUCCAAAGCUUAAUCCCAAAUUCUCCACCAGAAGAGCAGGGACAAGUAAGGUUCCAAUUAUUAAUUUCGAGGUUUCUCAUCACAGAGCAGUUGCAGCGGUGAGGUUGCUAAGAGCUGAUAAGGGGAAGGCGUUUGUUGAUCUUUUAAAUGAGAAAGCAAACGAUUCUGGGGAAAAUGAGAUGGGCUAUGUAGAAAGGACGUUAGGAUUCAGCACACGACAUUUGGAUGACAGGGAUAUAAGAUUGGUUACUGUCAUAGUAGCUGGAACUGUACGUUGGAAACGCUACAUUGAUUAUCUUAUCAUGUCACUCUGUAGUGAAGAGAAGGUGUUCAGCAACAUGGAACCGCUGCUGCUGCAGAUAUUGCGAAUUGGCUUCUUUGAAAUUCUCAAACUUAAUGUACCAGCUUAUGCUGUCGUUGAUGAGAAUGUAAGGCUCGCGAAAGUAGCUUUAAGGCCCGGUGCUGGGAACAUGGUGAAUGCGAUUCUGCGUAAACUUCUGUUACUGAAGGAGACAGAUUCUCUUCCUCUUCCAAAGAUAGAAGGUGAUGAUCGUGCCCAAGCUCGUGCUCUUUCCAUAAUUUAUUCUCAUCCUGUUUGGAUGGUGAGAAGGUGGAUUCGAUUUCUUGGAAAAGAAGAAGCUCUAAAAUUGAUGAAUUGGAAUAACAGUGACCCUUAUUUCAGUUUAAGGGUGAACACAACAAAUGGUUAUACAAGGGAUGAUCUUGUUAACCGAUUGGAAGAUUUGCAGGUUCACUAUGAAAAGUCAAUUAUGGACGAAUUUGUCCGCAUUCGUGAGGGCAUGCAGGCAGUCUUACAAGCUGGAUUACUGAAAGAAGGCAUGUGUGCCGUGCAGGAUGAGAGUGCAGGUUUUGUUGUGUCUGUGGUCGAUCCACAACCUGGGGAAACAAUCAUGGAUUGUUGUGCUGCACCUGGCGGGAAGACUUUAUUCAUGGCAUCCCGGCUGGCAGGACAAGGGAAGGUAUCAGCUCUUGACAUAAAUAAAGGCCGCUUGCGAAUUCUCAUGGAGGCAGCAAAGUGCCACAAUCUUGAUGAUAUAAUCACUGAUAUCCAUGGUGAUCUUCGACUAUAUGCUAAGGAAAGCACUGCCAAAUAUGACAAGGUAUUGUUGGAUGCUCCAUGCUCUGGGCUGGGAGUCCUUUCCAAGAGGGCAGACUUGCGUUGGAAUCGACAAUUUGAAGAUCUGGAGGAGUUGGUGUGUUUGCAAGAUGAGCUCCUUGAUUCGGCCUCAUCAUUGGUAAAACCUGGUGGUAUACUAAUAUACAGUACAUGUUCCAUUGACCAUGAAGAAAAUGAGAACCGGGUUACUGCUUUUGUUCAGAGGCAUCCGGAGUUUACCCCACAGGGUGUACAAGGAUUUGUUCCUGCAGAAUUCAUCACAGAUGAUGGUUUCUAUUCCUCAAGUCCAACUAAGCACUCUCUGGAUGGGGCAUUUGCUGCUCGUCUUGUCCGGUCAAUGCACUAG